GUUGGUUAGAGGACUCCCCUCAAUUCUACCUUUUGGGCUAAAACUCCAUUUCCCAGGGUGCAUCUUGAGCUGGGAGCCUCCAAUGAGGGCUGAGGGAGUCUUUAAUGACCAUCCUUGAGAUGCUGCUUUAACCCCAUAACACAUCUUGAAGAGCUGGUGUAUGACAGAGCCAUGGGGGUCUCAAGGCGCAGUGGGGCAAAGAACAGCAGCAGGAAGCGAAAGGGAGAGUCAGGGAAUAAGGAAGGAGAGCUGAAGGCACCCAGGAGAAAAGUGAUGAAGAAGGAACCAGGGGAGAUACAAUGCACAGUGGAGCCCUCUGUGGUAAAAGGGAAGAAGAAGAAGUCACCAGAGACCAAGGUGAAGCCGCUGCAGGAAAACAUCAUCAGCAG
Molecule: long non-coding RNA, 389 nt
Organism: Neopsephotus bourkii (Bourke's parrot)
Lineage: Eukaryota; Metazoa; Chordata; Aves; Psittaciformes; Psittacidae
Exons: 4
Source: RefSeq, a predicted model, not a curated record